Molecule: ribosomal RNA, 484 nt
Filed under: uncultured bacterium
Lineage: Bacteria
Description: partial 16S ribosomal RNA
Rfam family: Bacterial small subunit ribosomal RNA
Source: RNAcentral
AGUGAACGCUGGCGGCAGGCCUAACACAUGCAAGUCGAGCGGCAGCGGGUCCUUCGGGUUGCCGGCGAGCGGCGGACGGGUGAGGUAUACAUCGGAAUCUGCCCUGUCGUGGGGGAUAAUCUAUGGAAACUUAGGCUAAUACCGCAUACGACCUACGGGUGCAAGCGGGGGAUCGCAAGACCUCGCGCGCCAGGAUGAGCCGAUGUCCGAUUAGCUAGUUGGCGGGGUAAAGGCCCACCAAGGCGACGAUCGGUAGCUGGUCUGAGAGGAUGAUCAGCCACACUGGGACUGGGACACGGCCAAGACUCCUAAGGGAGGCAGCAGUGGGGAAUAUUAGACAAUGGGCGCAAGCCUGAUCCAGCCAUGCCGCGUGGGUGAAGAAGGCCUUCGGGUUGUAAAGACCUUUUGUCCGGGAAGAAAUGGUCUGGGCUAAUACCCCGGGCGGAUGACGGUACCGGAAGAAUAAGCACCGGCUAACUUCGUG